UACGUAGGUGGCAAGCGUUAUCCGGAUUUAUUGGGCGUAAAGAGAACGCAGGCGGUCUUUUAAGUCUGAUGUGAAAGCCUUCGGCUUAACCGGAGUAGUGCAUUGGAAACUGGGAGACUUGAGUGCAGAAGAGGAGAGUGGAACUCCAUGUGUAGCGGUGAAAUGCGUAGAUAUAUGGAAGAACACCAGUGGCGAAAGCGGCUCUCUGGUCUGUAACUGACGCUGAGGCUCGAAAGCGUGGGGAGCAAACAGG
RNAcentral lists this ribosomal RNA (253 nucleotides) under uncultured bacterium. RNAcentral's name for it is "partial 16S ribosomal RNA". It matches the Rfam family "Bacterial small subunit ribosomal RNA", at positions 524 to 776 of the family's 1533-position model. The record is from RNAcentral.